RNAcentral lists this ribosomal RNA (675 nucleotides) under uncultured Bacteroidales bacterium. Its description in RNAcentral is "bacterial SSU rRNA". It matches the Rfam family "Bacterial small subunit ribosomal RNA", at positions 55 to 719 of the family's 1533-position model. The record is from RNAcentral. Lineage: Bacteria; Pseudomonadati; Bacteroidota; Bacteroidia; Bacteroidales.
AUGCAAGUCGAGGGGCAGCAUGGUCUUAGCUUGCUAAGGCCGAUGGCGACCGGCGCACGGGUGAGUAACACGUAUCCAACCUGCCGUCUACUCUUGGACAGCCUUCUGAAAGGAAGAUUAAUACAAGAUGGCAUCAUGAGUCCGCAUGUUCACAUGAUUAAAGGUAUUCCGGUAGACGAUGGGGAUGCGUUCCAUUAGAUAGUAGGCGGGGUAACGGCCCACCUAGUCUUCGAUGGAUAGGGGUUCUGAGAGGAAGGUCCCCCACAUUGGAACUGAGACACGGUCCAAACUCCUACGGGAGGCAGCAGUGAGGAAUAUUGGUCAAUGGGCGAGAGCCUGAACCAGCCAAGUAGCGUGAAGGAUGACUGCCCUAUGGGUUGUAAACUUCUUUUAUAAAGGAAUAAAGUCGGGUAUGGAUACCCCGUUUGCAUGUACUUUAUGAAUAAGGAUCGGCUAACUCCGUGCCAGCAGCCGCGGUAAUACGGAGGAUCCGAGCGUUAUCCGGAUUUAUUGGGUUUAAAGGGAGCGUAGAUGGAUGUUUAAGUCAGUUGUGAAAGUUUGCGGCUCAACCGUAAAAUUGCAGUUGAUACUGGAUAUCUUGAGUGCAGUUGAGGCAGGCGGAAUUCGUGGUGUAGCGGUGAAUGCUUAGAUAUCACGAAGAACUCCGAUUGCGAA